GACGAACGCUGGCGGCGUGCCUAAUACAUGCAAGUCGAACGCACUCUCGUUUAGAUUGAAGGAGCUUGCUCCUGAUUGAUAAACAUUUGAGUGAGUGGCGGACGGGUGAGUAACACGUGGGUAACCUGCCCUAAAGUGGGGGAUAACAUUUGGAAACAGAUGCUAAUACCGCAUAAAACCUAAACACCGCAUGGUGUAGGGUUGAAAGAUGGUUUCGGCUAUCACUUUAGGAUGGACCCGCGGUGCAUUAGUUAGUUGGUGAGGUAAAGGCUCACCAAGACCGUGAUGCAUAGCCGACCUGAGAGGGUAAUCGGCCACACUGGGACUGAGACACGGCCCAGACUCCUACGGGAGGCAGCAGUAGGGAAUCUUCCACAAUGGACGAAAGUCUGAUGGAGCAACGCCGCGUGAGUGAAGAAGGUUUCGGAUCGUAAAACUCUGUUGUUGGAGAAGAAUGUAUCUGAUAGUAACUGAUCAGGUAGUG
Molecule: ribosomal RNA, 484 nt
Filed under: uncultured bacterium
Lineage: Bacteria
Description: bacterial SSU rRNA
Rfam family: Bacterial small subunit ribosomal RNA
Source: RNAcentral